UAGGGAAUCUUCGGCAAUGGACGAAAGUCUGACCGAGCAACGCCGCGUGAGUGAAGAAGGUUUUCGGAUCGUAAAACCUCUGUUGGUAGAGAAGAACGUUGGUGAGAGUGGAAAGCUCAUCAAGUGACGGUAACUACCCAGAAAGGGACGGCUAACUACGUGCCAC
This 166-nucleotide ribosomal RNA is filed under the name uncultured bacterium. Its description in RNAcentral is "partial 16S rRNA". It matches the Rfam family "Bacterial small subunit ribosomal RNA", at positions 355 to 511 of the family's 1533-position model. The record is from RNAcentral.